This 214-nucleotide ribosomal RNA is filed under the name Salinicola sp. MH3R3-1. Its description in RNAcentral is "partial 16S ribosomal RNA". It matches the Rfam family "Archaeal small subunit ribosomal RNA", at positions 534 to 747 of the family's 1478-position model. Lineage: Bacteria; Pseudomonadati; Pseudomonadota; Gammaproteobacteria; Oceanospirillales; Halomonadaceae. The record is from RNAcentral.
UAAGUUCGUCGGGAAAUCUACUGGCUUAACCAGUAGGCGUCCGGCGAAAACUGCUCGGCUUGGGACCGGGAGACCAGAGGGGUACGUCCGGGGUAGGAGUGAAAUCCUGUAAUCCUGGACGGACCACCGGUGGCGAAAGCGCCUCUGGAGAACGGAUCCGACGGUGAGGGACGAAAGCUAGGGUCUCGAACCGGAUUAGAAACCCCAGUAGUCC